AUUGAACGCUGGCGGCAGGCCUAACACAUGCAAGUCGAACGCGGGGCGGACGGGUGAGUAAUGUCUGGGAAACUGCCUGAUGGAGGGGGAUAACUACUGGAAAAGGUAGCUAAUACCGCAUACCAUCGGCUGGGCCCAGAUGGGAUUAGCUAGGAGGGGGGGUAAUGGGUCAACUAGGCGACGAUCCCUAGCUGGUCUGAGAGGAUGACCCGCCACACAGGAACUGAGACACGGUGCAUACCCCUACGGGAGGAAGCAGUGGGGUAUAUUGCCCAAUGGGCGCAAGCCUGGUGAAGCCAUGCCGAGUGUAUGAAGAAGUCCUUCGGGUUGUAAAGUACUGUCAGCGAGGAGUCGUUACACGUAGAAGAAGCACCGGCGAACCCCGUGCCAGCCGUCGCGGUAAUUC
Molecule: ribosomal RNA, 406 nt
Filed under: uncultured bacterium
Lineage: Bacteria
Description: partial 16S ribosomal RNA
Rfam family: Bacterial small subunit ribosomal RNA
Source: RNAcentral